AAGGAUUUAAGUUAAAACUAAACUAAUAACCUUCAAAGUUAUCAAUGGAUCAGCCUCUAAGCCUUA
RNAcentral lists this transfer RNA (66 nucleotides) under Languriidae sp. KM-2017. RNAcentral describes it as "tRNA-Trp". The record is from RNAcentral. Lineage: Eukaryota; Metazoa; Arthropoda; Insecta; Coleoptera; Erotylidae.